UUAGAAACCUAGCUCAGUUGGUAGAGCACGGGUUGUGGGUUCGAACCCCACAUUGGGCAAAA
RNAcentral lists this transfer RNA (62 nucleotides) under Podarcis lilfordi (Lilford's wall lizard). RNAcentral describes it as "tRNA.Ser". Lineage: Eukaryota; Metazoa; Chordata; Lepidosauria; Squamata; Lacertidae. The record is from RNAcentral.